GCUCUGCCAGGGAGAAGACAGGAGGAGCCCUAUUCUCUCGCUGGCUCACUGCUUCUUCCAGCCUGCCUCUGCUUCCUCCCAACAGCAAGGGCUCAACACACGACUCUGCCAAGGCUUGCCCUCAGCAAAAGCACAGCUGUCCAGUCACAGAUCCUCCGAGGGAAGAAGGAAGAAUGCCGCCUCUCGCCCACCAGCACUCAGCUCUCCAGGUGCGUCCAAAAUGGCUGUGGGUCUCCGCAACAGUUCAGCUGAGUCACUGGGACUCCAGCACACCUAGCAAAGGAGCUCCUCUGCCAUUUCCCUACAGCUGAGGUACAGCACUGGUGCUGCUGUGCACACGUACGUGCCCAGGGCCAGGCUCUCUGCCUCUCUCACUCCUAGUGCAAAAACCACCCAAGAGAAGCAGGAGCUUUCUGACGCUGAGACAGAUCAACCCUGCACAAACAAUCCCCGGAAGGAGUCCACACAAGUUACCGUGGACCUUGGUGAAUGCAGGGAAAGCAGUAAAAAACCUCUUUCAGUAGAUAAAAGAACAGACCCCAGCAGGGGAAGUAACUUACCUGGGGUUACAGAGUAAAACAGAGACAGAGAGACAAAAA
This is a non-coding RNA of Microcebus murinus (gray mouse lemur), 599 nucleotides long. NCBI's taxonomy places the organism in Eukaryota, Metazoa, Chordata, Mammalia, Primates, Cheirogaleidae. The record is from RefSeq and is a predicted model, not a curated record.